CAGCAUGGUUGAAACUGACUCAGAAAUAGCAGCAGUGAACUUGCAGCUUAACAAUGGGGAUUCUGAAUCAACUCUCUGGAAGUUCCUGCAAUGGAAAUAGGCAGAAUUUUGGUUUUAGGCCAAAGGCAUGGUGAAGAAUAGGGAUGCUUGUGGCUGUAGAAUUAACUGAAAGAACUCCUGCUGAUCAUCUAGUUCAACCUUCAUUUUUUUACAGCAAGCUGCAGCUGUUGCUUGAAGAGUUGAAGAGGAAUCUGACUAAAAAAAUAAAAUAAAAUAUGGCUCCUCACCUUUCCAGUG
Molecule: long non-coding RNA, 297 nt
Organism: Monodelphis domestica (gray short-tailed opossum)
Lineage: Eukaryota; Metazoa; Chordata; Mammalia; Didelphimorphia; Didelphidae
Source: RefSeq, a predicted model, not a curated record